RNAcentral lists this long non-coding RNA (320 nucleotides) under Elaeis guineensis (African oil palm). RNAcentral describes it as "long non-coding RNA (EGUI_LNC008873)". Lineage: Eukaryota; Viridiplantae; Streptophyta; Magnoliopsida; Arecales; Arecaceae. The record is from RNAcentral.
GCCAGGAUCAUUAAAAGGAUAAGCAAGAAGAGAAGGAGCUUUCCCUAAAGAGGACAAAAUACAUGCUCAAAAUGGUCAUUGCCUUGUAAGCUAGCUGCAAGUUUGCAUAUCGAAGAACUUAGGAGGAUCAAGAGUGAUCAACCUUCAUCUCUUCCAUCAAUGCGUACUUCAAAAAUGGUGGUGGCGGCAUCCAUAUAGUGAAAAACAAAGGAUAAUGGAGAAACCUCAUCCUCAACUUACACCAUAACAAACUUAGCAUUCUUAUUACUCUAAUCAUGGAGAUCGACAUAUCCAAUGCCCCAAAAAAAUCAACUGGAGGU